CCGGCGCACGGGUGAGUAACACGUAUCCAACCUGCCGAUAACUCGGGGAUAGCCUUUCGAAAGAAAGAUUAAUAUCCGAUAGCAUAUCAAUCCCGCAUGAGAUUGAUAUUAAAGAAUUUCGGUUAUCGAUGGGGAUGCGUUCCAUUAGUUUGUUGGCGGGGUAACGGCCCACCAAAGCGACGAUCGGUAGCCGGACUGAGAGGUUGAACGGCCACAUUGGGACUGAGACACGGCCCAG
RNAcentral lists this ribosomal RNA (238 nucleotides) under uncultured bacterium. Its description in RNAcentral is "partial 16S ribosomal RNA". It matches the Rfam family "Bacterial small subunit ribosomal RNA", at positions 95 to 334 of the family's 1533-position model. The record is from RNAcentral.